RNAcentral lists this long non-coding RNA (495 nucleotides) under Phoenix dactylifera (date palm). RNAcentral describes it as "long non-coding RNA (PDAC_LNC003807)". Lineage: Eukaryota; Viridiplantae; Streptophyta; Magnoliopsida; Arecales; Arecaceae. The record is from RNAcentral.
CCUCUUCUUCCCGGGCCCUUAAAAAUUAUAAGAAGCUUAUACAGCCCUCGCCCCCCUGCACAAUGUCGACCGCCGCAGCUCAAGGCUGGUGCCUCACCUCUCUCGCCCGCGCCAACUCCCGGAGACCGACCACCGUCCGACCCGCCGCCGUCUCCGGCCUCACCCCCUCCUCCCCAUCUCCCUCACCUUCGACUCCGCGCCUCAUCAGGAACUCUCCUGUCUUUGCCGCUCCGUCCACAAUCGCCACUGCCGUGGUAACGCCGCCGCUCUCUCUCUCUCUCUCUCUCUCUCUCUAGCGGGUGUGACAUUUGUUUGCAAUAUAUUGCUAUCACCCAUCGAGUCAAAACCUGGCAGUAUACAUAUUUAACCAUUUUGGUGGGCCGGGUUAUGUUAUAAUUCGCUGCAACGAUCUGCUGCAGACUAAAUUCUUUACGAGAGCCAUUAAUUGAGCAGAACAUUACUCGAUAAUGUUGUUAUGUUGCUUAUUAUAAUAAC